GGGAAACUGCCUGAUGGAGGGGGAUAACUACUGGAAACGGUAGCUAAUACCGCAUAACGUCGUAAGACCAAAGAGGGGGACCUUCGGGCCUCUUGCCAUCAGAUGUGCCCAGAUGGGAUUAGCUAGUAGGUGGGGUAACGGCUCACCUAGGCGACGAUCCCUAGCUGGUCUGAGAGGAUGACCAGCCACACUGGAACUGAGACACGGUCCAGACUCCUACGGGAGGCAGCAGUGGGGAAUAUUGCACAAUGGGCGCAAGCCUGAUGCAGCCAUGCCGCGUGUAUGAAGAAGGCCUUCGGGUUGUAAAGUACUUUCAGCGGGGAGGAAGGUGUUGAGGUUAAUAACCUCAGCAAUUGACGUUACCCGCAGAAGAAGCACCGGCUAACUCCGUGCCAGCAGCCGCGGUAAUACGGAGGGUGCAAGCGUUAAUCGGAAUUACUGGGCGUAAAGCGCACGCAGGCGGUCUGUCAAGUCGGAUGUGAAAUCCCCGGGCUCAACCUGGGAACUGCAUUCGAAACUGGCAGGCUGGAGUCUUGUAGAGGGGGGUAGAAUUCCAGGU
This 559-nucleotide ribosomal RNA is filed under the name uncultured bacterium. RNAcentral's name for it is "bacterial SSU rRNA". It matches the Rfam family "Bacterial small subunit ribosomal RNA", at positions 120 to 674 of the family's 1533-position model. The record is from RNAcentral.